Molecule: transfer RNA, 68 nt
Filed under: Marmota monax (woodchuck)
Lineage: Eukaryota; Metazoa; Chordata; Mammalia; Rodentia; Sciuridae
Description: tRNA.Ala
Source: RNAcentral
GGAUUGUGGCUCAGUGGUAGAGCUCUCGGCUAGCAUGUGUGAGGCCCUGGGUUUGAUCCUCAGCACCA